CGUUAGCGGCGGAUGGGUGAGUAACACGUGGGUAACCUACCUAUAAGACUGGGAUAACUUCGGGAAACCGGAGCUAAUACCGGAUAAUAUUUCGAACCGCAUGGUUCGAUAGUGAAAGGUGGUUUUGCUAUCACUUAUAGAUGGACCCGCGCCGUAUUAGCUAGUUGGUAAGGUAACGGCUUACCAAGGCGACGAUACGUAGCCGACCUGAGAGGGUGAUCGGCCACACUGGAACUGAGACACGGUCCAGACUCCUACGGGAGGCAGCAGCG
This 272-nucleotide ribosomal RNA is filed under the name uncultured Staphylococcus sp. RNAcentral describes it as "partial 16S ribosomal RNA". It matches the Rfam family "Bacterial small subunit ribosomal RNA", at positions 90 to 356 of the family's 1533-position model. Lineage: Bacteria; Bacillati; Bacillota; Bacilli; Caryophanales; Staphylococcaceae. The record is from RNAcentral.